UCCUUUCUUCUUAAUCCUGUCUCUUGGAGUUUUUGUAUAUUUUUGAAAAGAAAUUUAGCAUACCUUUAUCCUCGUAGGUUCUCUCAGGUCACUCAUUAUCUUUUGUAUAUCUCACUAAGGCUGUUUUAAUUUGCAGAAAUUCUCAAGCAUACUUACCUUGCAUUUAUUGCCUGAUCAAAACGGGGUUCAAGGAGAGGAAUGUCAUACUCUUAGAUCAAAGACUUUGGAAAUUAAAACCUUGUCAACUCUUACUGGCAUAUUGCUUAUUAGAGGGACCAUGGGCUAUCCUUUUCUUCUUCUUCUUCUUCUUCUUCUUCUU
This 319-nucleotide long non-coding RNA is filed under the name Sorghum bicolor (sorghum). Its description in RNAcentral is "long non-coding RNA (SBIC_LNC008854)". Lineage: Eukaryota; Viridiplantae; Streptophyta; Magnoliopsida; Poales; Poaceae. The record is from RNAcentral.